CCGGGUCUCUGACUCUAAAACCACUGUGCAUCAAUACUAUUUCUGCUGAGGCGGGCCGCUCGCUGGGGGAGCUCAGGCCUGUAAAGGUGGCACGCCGAAGCAACUUUAAAGCACUUUUGACCUGAAAAGAAAAAACUUUCAAAAUAUCA
Molecule: unclassified non-coding RNA, 149 nt
Filed under: uncultured Sordariales
Lineage: Eukaryota; Fungi; Ascomycota; Sordariomycetes; Sordariales
Description: sequence contains ITS1
Source: RNAcentral